Cotesia glomerata is the source of this 991-nucleotide long non-coding RNA. RefSeq lists it as uncharacterized. The transcript has 4 exons. NCBI's taxonomy places the organism in Eukaryota, Metazoa, Arthropoda, Insecta, Hymenoptera, Braconidae. The record is from RefSeq and is a predicted model, not a curated record.
UAUUAGAUAUUAAUGUUGAACUGUUGAACGAGUUGACGGAUUUAAAUGGCGACCAUCAGAGAUAGUAAACUAUAUUCCAUUCAAUAAAUUGUUAAAAGAAGCCAGAUAUUUCAAUCUAUAAACGUCAAUAAAUAACUCAGGAUAUCGCUAUUUCGGAUUUUCAUAAAUAUUUUGGAGUUAUGGUGAUAAAGUGACUCUGAAUUAUUAUUCAUCGUGAAGAGUAUUCUUUUGAAAAAUAGUGUAAUCAUCGUGGCACGAGGGACGUAAAAAAUAAAAAACGGACUGUGUGAAAAUUCACAAUGAUAAGAGAGAAAAUCAUUUAUCACUUUUUGUACACAUAACUGAAUGUGUCUAGGCGCGAAGACGCGUUAAAUUACUUUGUGAGAAUGAUGAGUCUUCGUCACCUUUCCGGAGGGUGUGAAACUGGUAAAAACAUACGUUUAUUCUGAAUCCAAACGUGUCAAUAAUAAAUAAAAUGAAAAAUAACGCUAAUUUAAAUGGCGCAUAAUCAUAAGACAGCUCAGUACCCUCCGAUAAUAAAGUUUCUUUAAAAGGAUCGGCGAAAGGAGCUUUUGCAUAGCACAUAACCUGACUAGUAUGAUUUCUGACUUCACGUGGCACUUUUCUCACCGCUUGGCAAUCUGUUUGAGGCCGGGAGACAAGGGAGAAUUCACCCCUCGGGGGCUCCAAAAUGGAUAGGCUCACAACCGAGUUUUCAGCUCGCCAAAUGCGUCAAGCUUUACUACAUACACCCUCUACUUUCUCUAAACAAGACCGCCGCAAAAAAACCCAAGUGACUACGGUCUAUGCAAAGGCAUCAAUUUCAACCCAACAUAAAGUUCAAAUAAAAAAAUUUUGUAAAAACAAGGAACAAAAAGUUUAAGUAUCAAAAGCAACUUUUAUUUCAUCGUUUAAAUUUUAUCCAUAAAAUAUGUAUUUUUCAUUUAUACAUUUAUUGCAUGUCUUUAAAUUUCCUGUUUCCCGUGAAUAU